AUUCUGAAGGGCCAGAGACACCAAACUGUAGCUUGAAAACCCCCAGGGCUGUCACUCGCAUCUGCCCUGGGAUUGACAGGUCACUGCAACACUGUCACUCUUGGCAGUAAGCCAGUAACUCAUGUGUGUAUGUGUGUGUGUGGGGGGGAGGGUUGGCUUGCUUUCGCCUUUAAAUAACUCUCUUCUUUUUCUUUCCUAUUGAACAACCCUUCGAGUUCAUUGCUGAAUUGGCUACCGGUGCUGUCUUUGGUGUAAGAGCGAAGGUACCAAUUGAUCCCGGGAAGGACGUGACUAAUUCAGUAAAACUCUUUCUGAACUCUUUGGCCUAACCACAGUUCCCCCAGGAGCGAGAGCGUGUGGGCCGGGACGGGGAAAGGAAUGCAGGCCGUGGAAAUUCCCUUUUUGCAACAGCCCUGCAUGUGACUGGCCGGUGAAGGAUCAGUGGCCAAAGAGGACAUCUGGCAGCCGCUUCAGUUCUAUUGGGUCGGACACGGCUCAAAAUUGCAGCGUCGACGGAAGCGCUGGGCUCCAGUUUGAACGUCUAUGCUGCGGGUAUUUUACUGCAGCGUAAACAGAUCUCGUGCGUCUGCUCCCUGCCCAGCACAACAGGCCCUGACCUCCGCCCUGAGACAAAUAAUAAUACUAAAACUCAGGAGGGCGGCGGGUCUUGAUUUGCAGCCAUACAACUUGAAUCAAAGAGGUGUGGAGACGCUUGGACUAGCAGGAAACGUUUUAUAUGCUCCCACGGAGCGUGUUGUUUGAGACUCCCAUAACGCAUAUAUAAGGAGAUGCUGAUAUACUGUCUGUACGUUUCAUUAGUCUGUUGAUUAUGGCGGAUGUGUUGACAGUCGUGGGUGACGUAUGAGGUGCAAAUCAGAGCAGGCAGCAUGGAGACAUCACGGCUCGCUUGGCCAAAAGAAGCUGCAAUGAAGCGCACGAGGCAACUCAGCCAGAAUGCUUGUUUCAUACAUUUUUCUGGGGCGUGCAAAGUUUUUGCCAGACAGCACUCGGGGGCUGGGCUGUGAGACGCUGAACAAGUCCUCGGAGGUGGAACAUGUAUGUAGCUCCCAUUGGAUAAGCAUCUUUGUUGGGUUUACUUCCAAAUGGGCGUCACCGAAAAGUGGUGUUCCCGGGAGAUCUCAGAGGCAAUGAAAUUAGACUUGCCCGGUGUCGCUUUUGAGGCGAGCAAGGCAAAUCGUGGAUUUUUCAAUUCAUUGGCAAUGUUGAAAAGUUGGGGAAAAACUUGUGUCAGAUUUGAUCCAAACCAGAAACAUUCAUAAUUGUUGAUGACUCUAAAAAUAAAAGUAAAUCAGUUGGGGGUUGAACCUAAUGUGUCCUUUGAUCCAAAUGAAAAUGCUUUGUUUUGACUUUAUUUCUUCCUUGAAAUGGUUUAGAAAUGAUUA
Pelodiscus sinensis (Chinese soft-shelled turtle) is the source of this 1403-nucleotide non-coding RNA. NCBI's taxonomy places the organism in Eukaryota, Metazoa, Chordata, Testudines, Trionychidae. The record is from RefSeq and is a predicted model, not a curated record.